This is a long non-coding RNA of Zophobas morio, 399 nucleotides long. RefSeq lists it as uncharacterized. NCBI's taxonomy places the organism in Eukaryota, Metazoa, Arthropoda, Insecta, Coleoptera, Tenebrionidae. The transcript is spliced from 5 exons. The record is from RefSeq and is a predicted model, not a curated record.
GCUCGUAGUUUUACUUUCCCAGGCGGCUAUCCCAUUUUCAAUGGUUUUUUCAUUUUACCUACUAAAUUUCCGCUACACUUGGUUACACGUGACCGGAGCUUUUUUUGUUAUUGCAGGAUUGGUCAUUACAAUCGCUCCUCAAAUGGUGACCGGCCUCGUCAAUCAUCAUCAUUUUUAUUGGGUCCUUUGUUGGGUUCUAUCAUGUAUUCCAAUGACACUAUCAGCAAUUUAUAAAGAAAAGAUCCUCGCUGCGAAUUUUAUAGACCCGAUUUACUUUAACGGCUGGAUUUCUCUUUGGCAGUUCAUAUUUUCGAUUCCGCUCUGCAUUCCUGCAGCUUAUGCUUCUGGCCAAGAUGUCUGGCAUAUUCCCGCCAUGCUAAAAAACGGCUGGCUUUGCUA